RNAcentral lists this ribosomal RNA (253 nucleotides) under uncultured bacterium. RNAcentral describes it as "partial 16S ribosomal RNA". It matches the Rfam family "Bacterial small subunit ribosomal RNA", at positions 524 to 776 of the family's 1533-position model. The record is from RNAcentral.
UACAGAGGUGGCAAGCGUUGUUCGGAAUUACUGGGCGUAAAGGGCGCGUAGGCGGUUCGAUAAGUCCCGUGUGAAAUCCCUCGGCUCAACUGAGGAACUGCACGGGAAACUGACGGGCUUGAGUUCGGGAGAGGGAAGCGGAAUUCCGGGUGUAGCGGUGAAAUGCGUAGAUAUCCGGAGGAACACCGGUGGCGAAGGCGGCUUCCUGGACCGGUACUGACGCUGAUGCGCGAAAGCGUGGGGAGCAAACGGG